AAAAAGUUCUUUGGAAAAAAAAAAAAAAAAGUCCACAAAAACAAAAAGAGUGCAAAGAAUCUCGUACGGUGUGUUUAUUAGGAAAGUAGGCACAUUUUUCUGACCUACCGUUGCUGAGCAGCUUUUAUCUUCUAUAAACAGAUGAUAAAAGUGCACUGUUUGCAUACUUAGUUAGACGUAACUUCUGACUCCUGCAGCCGAGUAAGCUAUAGCACGGGUUCUCGAAGGGUUUCGGUCCGUACUCUAUCAGGACAGAUUUAUUUCAUGAACAUUAUGUAAUCGGUACAAUAAUAUCGUGUCUAUUCUAGUUGUUCCUGAACUUUCCACUCACACAAGACGUUCGGUCCAACAUUAUUUCGAGUUAUUGAGACCGGAUUCAACCCAUUCGAUUCAAGAAAACCGGGUACCUAUGCAAAGAAAUAAUAAUAAAUAGAAUAAUUUGAUAAUUGUGGAUGGCGAUUUCCACCACAGUAACUAAACUGAAAAAGCACAGACAGCUUCAUGGAUCAACGUUUUAGGAACCGCUGAUCUACAGGAUCUACAUGAUCAAAACGAAUCCAAAUAAUUGGAAUCAAUUUGACAAGUAAAUAGCUUCUUGUUUUUUUUUUUUUUAAUAAUUCUGCUAACGUACGCAGCUUAGUAUAGUACUUCCUGUAUAGUGAGCUUGUGAUCAUGGUUCCUGGGAUGAAGGCAAAGCUGAUUAGGGAUCAAUGAGGUUAUGAUCAUAAUUAAGGAGGUUAUGAUCAAAAUGAAGGAGUUGUGAUCAAGAGUCCACGACUGACAAAAUGCCAGUGUUCAGGACCCUAAAUAAAACCCAUUCGGAUCAAGCAGUGAAUGCACUCAAUAUACAAAAAAUAAACAAUGACAAGACAUACCUCUGAAACGACUUUUCUGGAUCCUGCAGUGGAAAAUGUGGCUUAAAUCCCAGUGUUUGUUGUGUGAUCGAUCAGCAGAAAGUUAACUAGCUAGUUAGUUGGUUAGUUACUGUCUAACCGCUGCAUUUCCUCGGCUUUAUUUCUCACAAACUUAAGCAGCUCCGCAAACACAAAUUAAGUCCCGUUACAUCGUGACGUCGGACAUUUCUCAUAUAUUCAUGCGUGAUUUAAAACUAGCUAUACAACCCACUUCUCUUAAAAUCAAUAUAAUAAAUGUGCACUCUAAAAGUGUGCGAACUGGCUACAGCGUAACCUCGCAUUCCUAAAUAGAUUUACUAACUCACUAAGGGGGGGAUGCACGCUAUAUAAACAAACGUCC
Molecule: long non-coding RNA, 1254 nt
Organism: Ictalurus punctatus (channel catfish)
Lineage: Eukaryota; Metazoa; Chordata; Actinopteri; Siluriformes; Ictaluridae
Source: Ensembl